This 497-nucleotide ribosomal RNA is filed under the name uncultured bacterium. Its description in RNAcentral is "partial 16S ribosomal RNA". It matches the Rfam family "Bacterial small subunit ribosomal RNA", at positions 28 to 507 of the family's 1533-position model. The record is from RNAcentral.
GACGAACGCUGGCGGCGUGCCUAAUACAUGCAAGUUGAGCGAUGAAGAUUGGUGCUUGCACCAAUUUGAAGAGCAGCGAACGGGUGAGUAACGCGUGGGGAAUCUGCCUUUGAGCGGGGGACAACAUUUGGAAACGAAUGCUAAUACCGCAUAAUAACUUUAAACAUAAGUUUUAAGUUUGAAAGAUGCAAUUGCAUCACUCAAAGAUGAUCCCGCGUUGUAUUAGCUAGUUGGUGAGGUAAAGGCUCACCAAGGCGAUGAUACAUAGCCGACCUGAGAGGGUGAUCGGCCACAUUGGGACUGAGACACGGCCCAAACUCCUACGGGAGGCAGCAGUAGGGAAUCUUCGGCAAUGGACGAAAGUCUGACCGAGCAACGCCGCGUGAGUGAAGAAGGUUUUCGGAUCGUAAAACUCUGUUGGUAGAGAAGAACGUUGGUGAGAGUGGAAAGCUCAUCAAGUGACGGUAACUACCCAGAAAGGGACGGCUAACUACGUG